UUUCAGCUGACGCGUCCCAAAUAGGGCGAAACGAGUGUCUUAGAU
This 45-nucleotide non-coding RNA is filed under the name Schistosoma margrebowiei. Lineage: Eukaryota; Metazoa; Platyhelminthes; Trematoda; Strigeidida; Schistosomatidae. The record is from RNAcentral.